CACACGAGUUUGAUCAUGGCUCAGGAUGAACGCUAGCGGCAGGCCUAACACAUGCAAGUCGAACGGCAGCACAGGUAGCAAUACUGGGUGGCGAGUGGCGCACGGGUGCGUAACACGUAUGUAACUUACCCUUAACUGGAGGAUAGCUCCGAGAAAUCGGGAUUAAUACUCCAUAACAUUUCUAAGAGGCAUCUCUUGGUUUUUAAAGCUCCGGCGGUUAAGGAUAGACAUGCGGCUGAUUAGUUUGUUGGUGAGGUAACGGCUCACCAAGACUACGAUCAGUAGGGGUACUGAGAGGUUAAACCCCCACACUGGUACUGAGACACGGACCAGACUCCUACGGGAGGCAGCAGUAAGGAAUAUUGGACAAUGGCCGCAAGGCUGAUCCAGCCAUGCCGCGUGCAGGAAGACGGACCUAUGGUUUGUAAACUGCUUUUGAACGGGAGAAAACCCCCCUACGUGUAGGGGGCUGAUAGUACUGUUAGAAUAAGCAUCGGCUAACUUCGUG
Molecule: ribosomal RNA, 508 nt
Filed under: uncultured bacterium
Lineage: Bacteria
Description: bacterial SSU rRNA
Rfam family: Bacterial small subunit ribosomal RNA
Source: RNAcentral